Molecule: ribosomal RNA, 468 nt
Filed under: uncultured bacterium
Lineage: Bacteria
Description: partial 16S ribosomal RNA
Rfam family: Bacterial small subunit ribosomal RNA
Source: RNAcentral
GACGAACGCUGGCGGCGUGCUUAACACAUGCGAGUCGAACGGAAAGGCCCUGCUUUUGUGGGGUGCUCGAGUGGCGAACGGGUGAGUAACACGUGUGUAACCUGCCCCUGUCUUUGGGAUAACUUCAGGAAACUGGGGCUCAUACCGGAUAGGAUCUCCUGAUGCACGGGGGGGGUUGGAGAGUUUCGGCGGUGGGGGAUAGAAUAGCAGGUUAUCCGCUUGUUAGUGGGGUAGUGGAUUACCAAGGCUGUGACGGGUAGCCGGCCUGAGAGCGUGACCGGCCACAUUGGGACUGCGAUACGGCGCAGACUCCUACGGGAGGCAGCAGUCGGGAAUAUUGCACAAUGGGCGGGAGCCUGAUGCAGCAACGCCGCGUGCGGGAUGACGGCCUUCGGGUUGUGAACCGCUUUCGCCUGUGACGAAGCGUGAGUGACGGUAAUGGGUAAAGAAGCACCGGCUAACUACGUG